Molecule: ribosomal RNA, 429 nt
Filed under: Gemmatimonadota bacterium
Lineage: Bacteria; Pseudomonadati; Gemmatimonadota
Description: Gemmatimonadetes bacterium partial 16S ribosomal RNA
Rfam family: Bacterial small subunit ribosomal RNA
Source: RNAcentral
UAGGGAAUCUUCGGCAAUGGACGAAAGUCUGACCGAGCAACGCCGCGUGAGUGAAGAAGGUUUUCGGAUCGUAAAACUCUGUUGUUAGAGAAGAACAAGGACGUUAGUAACUGAACGUCCUCUGACGGUAUCUAACCAGAAAGCCACGGCUAACUACGUGCCAGCAGCCGCGGUAAUACGUAGGUGGCAAGCGUUGUCCGGAUUUAUUGGGCGUAAAGCGAGCGCAGGCGGUUUCUUAAGUCUGAUGUGAAAGCCCCCGGCUCAACCGGGGAGGGUCAUUGGAAGCUGGGAGACUUGAGUGCAGAAGAGGGGGGUGGAAUUCCAUGUGUAGCGGUGAAAUGCGUAAAUAUAUGGAGGAACACCAGUGGCGAAGGCGGCUCUCUGGUCUGUAACUGACGCUGAGGCUCGAAAGCGUGGGGAGCAAACAGG